Molecule: ribosomal RNA, 465 nt
Filed under: uncultured bacterium
Lineage: Bacteria
Description: partial 16S ribosomal RNA
Rfam family: Bacterial small subunit ribosomal RNA
Source: RNAcentral
GAUGAACGCUGGCGGCGUGCUUAACACAUGCAAGUCGAACGGAAAGGCUCCUGCUUGCAGGGGUACUCGAGUGGCGAACGGGUGAGUAACACGUGGGUGAUCUGCCCUGCACUUCGGGAUAAGCCUGGGAAACUGGGUCUAAUACCGGAUAGGACGAUGGCUUGGAUGCCCUUCUGGAAAGUUUUUCGGUGUGGGAUGAGCUCGCGGCCUAUCAGCUUGUUGGUGGGGUAAUGGCCUACCAAGGCGUCGACGGGUAGCCGGCCUGAGAAGGUGUACGGCCACAUUACAACUGAGAAACGGCCCAGCCGUCUAUAGGAGGCAGCAGGGGGGAAUAUAGCACAAUGGGCGGAAGCCUGAUGAAGAGACGCCGCGUGGGGGAUGACGGCCUUCCGGUGGUAAACUCCUUUCGCUCGGGACGAGGCGAAAGUGACGGUACCUGGAGAAGAAGCACCGGCUAACUACGUG